Canis lupus familiaris (dog) is the source of this 988-nucleotide long non-coding RNA. RefSeq lists it as uncharacterized. NCBI's taxonomy places the organism in Eukaryota, Metazoa, Chordata, Mammalia, Carnivora, Canidae. The transcript is spliced from 4 exons. The record is from RefSeq and is a predicted model, not a curated record.
GCAAAGAUGUACCAACUAAGGACCAGCAAGACCAGAAUAGGCACGCUUGGCUGCCCGACCUCCACUUCACCUGCUGCCAGAUGUGCAAAGUAAGGAGCAAAAGGGGAAAAGACUUGGUUGUGGUGUGUGGCUGCCGGGAGCUUCCUCAUCCUUUAUGAGCUGGAUCUGUAAAGGAGACUGUCAGGCAGAUGGCUCCCCCAGCUAGUCAUCCCAGUACUAUUUCUGGAACGAGCCACCUUUCCCCACUGAUCAGAAGUGCCUCCUUUCUCGUCUCACAGAGGCCUUGUUGCACUUGCCUCUCCUCUGGGCUUUCCACUCUGAGGAAGAGAGAUGCUUUUAAUGCAAGAUGCAGCUGUUACCCUGCUGAACUUGCCACCCUGGUCAAGUGACUUCACUUAUCCAAGCCUCAGAUGAGGAUGAUGAGAGAAUUAACCAAAAUAACAGACCUCAAGUAUCUGGCACCUGGAGCCCAGCAACUCUCUGCUCAUUGGCUCAACUGCAUUAAAAGGUUUGGAUCCCAGUGCCCCAGGACAGAAACAGUCCUCCCUCUGCAGCUCUAGGUGUGACUUAGCAGCAGUAAGGGGAGAAAAAGAGGAGGAGGAAGAGGAGAGACGGAGGGGGAAGAAGAAGGAGAAGAAAACGGGCAGCAGGUGAAAGGCCGACAGGAAGAGCAAAUAAGAGGCCAAAUUAGAUCUUCAUAAGACACCUUGAUGCCCCAAGGACAGCCUACUAUUAUAGGCUGCAGCCUCUCUGGGAAAAGAAACUGAGGCCUCUGCCACCCUAGCUGGAGGAGCUGCAAACGGAGACCAGACCCUUUAAACAUUAAAUCCUCUUACCUUGGGGCACCUCGGUGGCUCAGCGGUUGAGUGUCUGCCUUCGGCCCAGGGCGUGAUCCCGGGGUCCUGGGAUCGAGUCCCACAUUGGGCUCCCUUCGACAAGCCUGCUUCUCCCUCUGCCUGUGUCUCUGCCUCUCUCUCUCUCUGUGUCU